AGUGAACGCUGGCGGUAGGCCUAACACAUGCAAGUCGAACGGCAGCACAGUAAGAGCUUGCUCUUACGGGUGGCGAGUGGCGGACGGGUGAGGAAUACAUCGGAAUCUACUUUUUCGUGGGGGAGAACGUAGGGAAACUUACGCUAAUACCGCAUACGACCUACGGGUGAAAGCAGGGGAUCUUCGGACCUUGCGCGAUUGAAGGAGCCGAUGUCGGAUUAGCUAGUUGGCGGGGUAAAGGCCCACCAAGGCGACGAUCCGUAGCUGGUCUGAGAGGAUGAUCCGCCACACUGGAACUGAGACACGGUCCAGACUCCUACGGGAGGCAGCAGUGGGGAAUAUUGGACAAUGGGCGCAAGCCUGAUCCAGCCAUACCGCGUGGGUGAAGAAGGCCUUCGGGUUGUAAAGCCCUUUUGUUGGGAAAGAAAAGCAGCAGGUUAAUACCCCGCUGUUCUGACGGUACCCAAAGAAUAAGCACCGGCUAACUUCGUG
RNAcentral lists this ribosomal RNA (492 nucleotides) under uncultured bacterium. RNAcentral's name for it is "partial 16S ribosomal RNA". It matches the Rfam family "Bacterial small subunit ribosomal RNA", at positions 29 to 507 of the family's 1533-position model. The record is from RNAcentral.